This 928-nucleotide long non-coding RNA is filed under the name Ursus maritimus (polar bear). Its description in RNAcentral is "lncRNA (ENSUMAG00000024969.1)". The record is from RNAcentral. Lineage: Eukaryota; Metazoa; Chordata; Mammalia; Carnivora; Ursidae.
GGUCUUCUAGGGGAGGGGCCUGUUGCUGGGAUUCUCAGGUGGACUUUGCCCUGGUGGAACUGGGCCUCCCUUGCACAGAGGCCGGGCUCAGUAUAAGCAGCUCUGGGUCCACUAGGUGGUGCUGUUUUGCUGUCUGAAGGCUUUGAGCUCUGGUGAGCGGGAUGAACAUGGCUGCACCGGGCUCUCUAGCCUGGAGCUGGAAAUUCACAGCCCCCACUGUUCAGUGAGCCCGCACAGAAAAGCAAUCAAUCACUCUGGUCUCCCCGGUUUCCCUGGGAACUCUGUGUUCACCCCGCCUGUGACCAAGUGAUUUUAUGUCAGGCACGAGACUGAGUUUCAAAACUCCAAACCUGAUGGACUCCUGCAGUGUAUAUCCUUGUAGUUCCUCCCCGGGAUGCGGGGGACGAGGGCGGUUUCCCCGUGCUUCUGCCUAUUACUGGGCCGCGGCUCCAAGACUGGUUUGCCGACUGUGCAGCAGUUCACAGUUUAUGGCAACACAGCGGGCAUCAUGGCUGGUCUGUUUGUCGUUGUGGUCACUGGCGCUGUGCUGGUUGGAGCUGUCAUGUGGAGGAAGUAGAGCUCAGUCCUGCCCUAGGUCUGUAGUGACAGUCCUGGAAACUUCCCUGUGGUCCAGGCUAUCCAUUUCAUCUUGGAUCUCGGGGUGUGUCUCCUCCAUGGCAUCUCAUGGGAUGUUUUCUUUCCCAGGUGGAAGCAGAAGGAGUUACGCUCAGGCUGCAAGAUUAGCCUGUUUUCAUGUUCGGGGAGGAGUUCUGGUCUCAUUCAGCUUCGAGUGCCUCCUGUCUGACGGCGGCAGGAGGUAGUCGGCCCAUCGGUGUCUCCACAAGGCCCACGAAUCCGGAGCAUCCAGAGGUUAUUUUCAGACUCAUGGAGGUCUUGCCCUCCUUCUGGGGCUCGGCUGUUCCCUCGG